Molecule: non-coding RNA, 114 nt
Organism: Acanthosepion pharaonis
Lineage: Eukaryota; Metazoa; Mollusca; Cephalopoda; Sepiida; Sepiidae
Source: the annotation of a GenBank genome assembly
UUACGGCCGUAUCACUCUGAAACACUGGUUCCUGUUCGAUCGCCGAAGUUAAACAACGUCGAGCCUGUUAAGUACCUAGAUGGGUGACCGCUUGGGAGCACCAGGUGUUGUAAA